This 333-nucleotide ribosomal RNA is filed under the name Triticum aestivum (bread wheat). RNAcentral's name for it is "partial small subunit ribosomal RNA". The record is from RNAcentral. Lineage: Eukaryota; Viridiplantae; Streptophyta; Magnoliopsida; Poales; Poaceae.
AUGCUUGAUAUGAGGAAAGACGGUGCGCAAGGGCUCCCGCGAGGCAUGCAGCGCGCGUGUGUGAAUGUGCAGAUGCGAGGCGGUGGAGGGCUCAACAAGACUAAUGGGAGGAUCAUCAGACCAACAUUAUCAAAUUGGCUGCUUCAAAUUUUGUUCGGGAAGCCGGCGGACAGCCAGAGCAGGAAGGCGUGGAGCUUGAGCUGCAACGACAACAACAACUUGGGGGUCAGCUGCAAAAACAACAGCUCAAGUUUUCAACCAAGUGUAAGGUUGCAGUCAGUCAAUGAUUGCAGUUCUACAAUGACACAUUCAGACUCUUGCAUCCAAAGUUAG